Molecule: ribosomal RNA, 252 nt
Filed under: uncultured bacterium
Lineage: Bacteria
Description: partial 16S ribosomal RNA
Rfam family: Bacterial small subunit ribosomal RNA
Source: RNAcentral
UACGUAGGGAGCGAGCGUUGUCCGGAAUUACUGGGUGUAAAGGGAGCGUAGGCGGGGAUGCAAGUUGGGUGUCAAAACUACCGGCUCAACUGGUAGUCGCACUCAAAACUGCAGCUCUUGAGUGAAGUAGAGGCAGGCGGGAUUCCUAGUGUAGCGGUGAAAUGCGUAGAUAUUAGGAGGAACGCCAGUGGCGAAGGCGGCCUGCUGGGCUUUUACUGACGCUGAGGCUCGAAAGUGUGGGGAGCAAACAGG